GCAAAGAAGCUACAGUUAAUGGGGAGAGUUCAAUUUGAUUUGCUUCAAGUUAUGCUCAUUGGGAUUGUUUUCUAUGCUCUCUCAGAUUGGUUCAUGGUGGUAUAUUCAUGAAGAUUUUAUCAAAACCGGAAAUUUAUACUAUCACUCUAAUUGUGCAGGUUAUGCAAAGGGAUUGUAUUCAUUGAAUUCUGUUUCAGCACGCUUUGUUAAUGAGCAGGCAAGAAAACCUUUUUCUUUUCUCCGUUCAAUUGGAUUUGCAGCCGGUACUUCUGUCUGUGCCAAGUAACAAGUCCUCGCAUCCUACAUUUUAUCUUUGUGCUUGUGCCUUUUUGUGACUUGAAUUACAUUACUCUCUUUAUUGUUAAGCUUGCUCAUCUUUGUUUAAGCACACUAUUUGAUCACUUAAUCUCAUAUUCAUGAUGUCUCUACUACUCUCUGCUACAAUGUUAAAUCUAUAUACUAUGUUAUAAUGGCAGGGAUACGUGGGAUCUAAUAAGAAAAGAAAUAGAGUUCUUCAUUCAGUACUGAAGUCCACUAUAUAGACAUGUUUCAUCCACACACAAACUCUCUUAUGUACAACAAGGUUGCUUCAAAACAAAAAACCAUCUACAAAAAACACUGAAGUUAGAUCUGCUUUUCGAAUUUCGUUAACACUUCAAUUAGGACCCCAAUAGCUCAAAUACAUCACUGUCCAGAGAGAUUCCUCAGCUUGUUUGUAUCUGUUAUCAUUGCUAUCCUUAUCAGCUUUGUUAUAGGCCAAUUGAUUAUAAGCACCGACAUUUGUUCUCACCUGCUUAGAAGAUCCAGAAGGGAAGGCAGAAGUAGAAGCAGAGUCAUGACUUGCUUUCAUGGCUAAGUCACACUUCGGAGACUUCUCUUUGAUUCUCUGCAUCACUGGUUCCAGUGGAUCUUGUCAUUGACAAUUCUGUUCAGGUUGAUGUGGCAGGAAGUGAAUGCAAUGCAGGCAAAUAUGGGGCUUGAAUUUCAGAGAAACAAGGAGAGGUUUGUUUUUCUGAAGUGGGGUUCCAAUGUUUUUCACAAUAUGCUCAUUGUUCCUCCUGGUUCUGGUAUUGUCCACCAGGUAAGACUUUGGCAUCAUUAGUGCAUCAAGGGUAUUUCUAUAUCUAGAUGUUAUACUGUUGUUAAAGGAAAAUUCUCAUGGCAAGGUGCAAGAAUUUGACCUUAAGGUGGUAUGAAUGGUUUACUCUUAAAAGGGCCAAAACAUUAGAUAGGUAUAGGCUCAAUACAUGAGGUUUGCAAUGUUUAACUAUUUAUGGGGCUUCCAGAGUAAAGCCACAUUUACCUCUAGCCUCUUGUAAAUCAUAGUCCAAAUUUUCUCAUUUUUUUAGCACUAUAAUAUUAUUUGGUAGGUUUGGCAUUUAGCAAGUGACUCUGGUAAUUUUCAAGUUAAUCUUGAAUACCUUGGAUGGGUUAUUUUCUACACAAAUGGCAUUCUGUACCCUGAUAGCGUGGUUGGAAUUGAUUCCCAUACAAAUAUGAUUGCUGGCUUAGGAGUUGUUGGCUGGGGAGUUGGAGGAAUUGAAUCUGAGGCUACAAUGCUUCGCUAGGUAUUUUGAGAUAAUAAUGUAUUUUCUUUAUGAUUUUCUAUACGCUUGUGCCAAUUGUUAGUGUUUGCAGUUAUUCUUUGGUAGAUAGACAUGCAUGAAAUGGGUAGCUGUUUUUUCUUCUUUUUCCUCCAAAGGUGCAAAGAAAAUGCAGCUUCUGC
Non-coding RNA from Camellia sinensis, 1726 nucleotides. NCBI's taxonomy places the organism in Eukaryota, Viridiplantae, Streptophyta, Magnoliopsida, Ericales, Theaceae. The record is from RefSeq and is a predicted model, not a curated record.